This 252-nucleotide ribosomal RNA is filed under the name uncultured bacterium. RNAcentral's name for it is "partial 16S ribosomal RNA". It matches the Rfam family "Bacterial small subunit ribosomal RNA", at positions 525 to 776 of the family's 1533-position model. The record is from RNAcentral.
ACGGAGGGAGCUAGCGUUGUUCGGAAUUACUGGGCGUAAAGCGAACGUAGGCGGCUAUCCAAGUCAGGGGUGAAAUCCCGGGGCUCAACCCCGGAACUGCCCUUGAAACUAGGUAGCUAGAAUCCUGGAGAGGUUAGUGGAAUUCCGAGUGUAGAGGUGAAAUUCGUAGAUAUUCGGAAGAACACCAGUGGCGAAGGCGACUGACUGGACAGGUAUUGACGCUGAGGUUCGAAAGCGUGGGGAGCAAACAGG